This 76-nucleotide transfer RNA is filed under the name Candidatus Babeliales bacterium. RNAcentral's name for it is "tRNA-His". It matches the Rfam family "tRNA". From Rfam's summary of the family: Transfer RNA (tRNA) molecules are approximately 80 nucleotides in length. Their secondary structure includes four short double-helical elements and three loops (D, anti-codon, and T loops). The record is from RNAcentral. Lineage: Bacteria; Candidatus Babeliae; Candidatus Babeliales.
GUGAGCGUAGCUCAGUCGGUAGAGCAUCAGGUUGUGGUUCUGAGGGUCGAGGGUUCGAUCCCCUCCGCUCACCCCA